AGUGAACGCUGGCGGCAGGCCUAACACAUGCAAGUCGAACGGCAGCAGAGUACUUGCUUGUGGAUUCGGCGGCGGACUGGUGAGUGGUGCCUGAGAACCUGGGAAGCUGUGGUUGCUAAGGGGCGAAAGUAGGCGAUCAUACCCUAAUCCCGCAGAGGAAGUACGUGGGAGAGCUUCGGACCUUCCGACCUCACGUGAGCCUAGGUCGGAUUAGCUAGUUGGCGGGGUAAAGGCCUACCAAGGCGACGAUCCGUAGCUGGUCUGAGAGGAUGAUCAGUCACACUGGAACUGAGACACGGUCCAGACUCCUACGGGAGGCAGCAGUGGGGAAUAUUGGACAAUGGGCGCAAGCCUGAUCCAGCCAUACCGCGUGGGUGAAGAAGGUCUUCGGAUUGUAAAGCCCUUUAAGUGGGGAGGAAAAGCAGCAAGUUAAUACCUUGCUGUUCUGACGUUACCAACAGAAUAAGCACCGGCUAACUUCGUG
Molecule: ribosomal RNA, 484 nt
Filed under: uncultured bacterium
Lineage: Bacteria
Description: partial 16S ribosomal RNA
Rfam family: Bacterial small subunit ribosomal RNA
Source: RNAcentral